RNAcentral lists this ribosomal RNA (230 nucleotides) under uncultured bacterium. RNAcentral describes it as "partial 16S ribosomal RNA". It matches the Rfam family "Bacterial small subunit ribosomal RNA", at positions 567 to 791 of the family's 1533-position model. The record is from RNAcentral.
CGUGCGGCAGGCGGUUAGUGUAAGACAGAUGUGAAAUCCCCGGGCCGUCAACCUGGGAACUGCAUUUGUGACUGCAUGGCUAGAGUACGGUAGAGGGGGAUGGAAUUCCGCGUGUAGCAGUGAAAUGCGUAGAUAUGCGGAGGAACACCGAUGGCGAAGGCAAUCCCCUGGACCUGUACUGACGCUCAUGCACGAAAGCGUGGGGAGCAAACAGGAUUAGAUACCCUUGU